This is a non-coding RNA of Pseudophryne corroboree (corroboree frog), 154 nucleotides long. RefSeq annotates it as small Cajal body-specific RNA 1. The record is from RefSeq and is a predicted model, not a curated record. The transcript has a single exon. Lineage: Eukaryota; Metazoa; Chordata; Amphibia; Anura; Myobatrachidae.
UAGCACUUGAUACUAACCUAGAUAUCUACGCUCUGGUCACAUCUAGUGCGUAUCCCAUGGUAUCUUGGUCCUAGAAGUGCCACAUUAACUAGACGAUAAGCAUUUAAGCUCAGUGUGUGCAGUGAUACGCUGGGUUAUAACUUAUUGCACAAAU